RNAcentral lists this transfer RNA (72 nucleotides) under Chloropicon maureeniae. RNAcentral describes it as "tRNA-Gln". It matches the Rfam family "tRNA". Rfam says of the family: Transfer RNA (tRNA) molecules are approximately 80 nucleotides in length. Their secondary structure includes four short double-helical elements and three loops (D, anti-codon, and T loops). The record is from RNAcentral. Lineage: Eukaryota; Viridiplantae; Chlorophyta; Chloropicophyceae; Chloropicales; Chloropicaceae.
UGGAGUGUAGCCAAGUGGUAAGGCAUUGGUUUUUGGUACCGAGAUUCGAAGGUUCGAGCCCUUCCACUCCAG